GGGGGCCCGCAAGCGGAGGAGCAUGUGGUUUAAUUCAAAGCACCGCGCACAACCUUACCAGGGCUUGACAUGGGAGGGCCGUGUCCAGAGAUGGGCAUUUCCGCAAGGACCCUCUGCACAGGUGCUGCAUGGCUGUCGCCAGCUCGUGUCGAGAGAUGUUGGGUUAAGUCCCGCAACGAGCGCAACCCUCUCCUUCAGUUGCCAUCGGGUUUGGCGGGGCACUCUGAAGGAACUGCCGGUGACAAGCCGGAGGAAGGUGGGGAUGACCUCAAGUCCUCAUGGCCCUUAUGUCCUGGGCUACACACGUGCUACAAUGGCGGUGACAGCGGGAUGCCAUCUCGCAAGGCCGAGCCUAUCCCAAAAAGCCGUCUCACUUCACAUAGCACUCUGCCACUCCGGUGCAUGAAGGUGGAAUCGCUAUUAAUCGCGGAUCAUCAUGCCGCGGUGAAUACCUUCCCGGGCCUUGUACACACC
RNAcentral lists this ribosomal RNA (474 nucleotides) under uncultured bacterium. RNAcentral describes it as "bacterial SSU rRNA". It matches the Rfam family "Bacterial small subunit ribosomal RNA", at positions 915 to 1391 of the family's 1533-position model. The record is from RNAcentral.